This 459-nucleotide ribosomal RNA is filed under the name Escherichia coli. RNAcentral describes it as "partial 23S ribosomal RNA". It matches the Rfam family "Bacterial large subunit ribosomal RNA", at positions 2387 to 2840 of the family's 2925-position model. Lineage: Bacteria; Pseudomonadati; Pseudomonadota; Gammaproteobacteria; Enterobacterales; Enterobacteriaceae. The record is from RNAcentral.
GCGCGAGCAGGUGCGAAAGCAGGUCAUAGUGAUCCGGUGGUUCUGAAUGGAAGGGCCAUCGCUCAACGGAUAAAAGGUACUCCGGGGAUAACAGGCUGAUACCGCCCAAGAGUUCAUAUCGACGGCGGUGUUUGGCACCUCGAUGUCGGCUCAUCACAUCCUGGGGCUGAAGUAGGUCCCAAGGGUAUGGCUGUUCGCCAUUUAAAGUGGUACGCGAGCUGGGUUUAGAACGUCGUGAGACAGUUCGGUCCCUAUCUGCCGUGGGCGCUGGAGAACUGAGGGGGGCUGCUCCUAGUACGAGAGGACCGGAGUGGACGCAUCACUGGUGUUCGGGUUGUCAUGCCAAUGGCACUGCCCGGUAGCUAAAUGCGGAAGAGAUAAGUGCUGAAAGCAUCUAAGCACGAAACUUGCCCCGAGAUGAGUUCUCCCUGACUCCUUGAGAGUCCUGAAGGAACGUUG